GCCGGGCGUGGUGGCUCACGCCUGUAAUCCCAGCACUUUGGGAGGCUGAGGCGGGUGGAUCACCUGAGGUCGGGAGUUUGAGACCAGCCUGACCAACAUGGAGAAACCCCGUCUCUA
Molecule: unclassified non-coding RNA, 117 nt
Organism: Pongo abelii (Sumatran orangutan)
Lineage: Eukaryota; Metazoa; Chordata; Mammalia; Primates; Hominidae
Rfam family: Metazoan signal recognition particle RNA
About the family: The signal recognition particle (SRP) is a universally conserved ribonucleoprotein. It is involved in the co-translational targeting of proteins to membranes.
Source: Ensembl